CAGGGAGGCAACAAUUGGUUAUGUCAUCAUGCCGGUGAGAAUAAAAACAGAGACACCAAAACCCCUCAGGAUCCCAGCCAAAUCUGACCUUUACAUGACUAAUGUGACAACCUCCAAAGUCAAAGGUUCUGUGUGCACUGUAGAAGUGAACUGCUUCCGUAUAAACGACAUAUCUUCAAGGUUGAUGCAAAUAUAGCUAAGCAUGCCUAUAUGAGAUAAGCCUAUGAAUAUUGCUAAAACAUUUCCAGGAUCGAACACCAUUUUAAAAAGAUAACAGAAGAUGAAACACAUCUCCAGAAAAAGAAGCAACUGCUGACAGGUGAAAGCUAAAAGAAGAGCCUUUCAAAGAUGAUCCCUGAAAUCUUAGAAGCUAUUGUGAUUUCAAAUAAAAUUGUUGAAGAACUAAAUGGAUUAGACUCUAAAGAAAAAGAAAGGGCAGCUCAAAC
Molecule: non-coding RNA, 446 nt
Organism: Podarcis muralis (Common wall lizard)
Lineage: Eukaryota; Metazoa; Chordata; Lepidosauria; Squamata; Lacertidae
Source: RefSeq, a predicted model, not a curated record